AUGAACGCUAGGCGGCAGGCCUAACACAUGCAAGGUCGAGGGGUAGAAUUAGCUUGCUAAUUUGAGACCGGCGCACGGGUGCGUAACGCGUAUGCAAUCUACCUUGUACGAGGGGGAUAGCCCAGAGAAAUUUGGAUUAAUACCCCAUGGUAUAAUUAAUUGCAUGAAUUGAUUAUUAAAGUUCCAACGGUACAAGAUGAGCAUGCGUCCCAUUAGCUAGUUGGUGUGGUAACGGCAUACCAAGGCGACGAUGGGGUAGGGGUCCUGAGAGGGAGAUCCCCCACACUGGUACUGAGACACGGACCAGACUCCUACGGGAGGCAGCAGUGAGGAAUAUUGGUCAAUGGUCGGAAGACUGAACCAGCCAUGCCGCGUGCAGGAAGAAGCAUCUAUGGUGUGUAAACUGCUUUUGUACGGGAGCAAUAAGGUCUACGAGUAGAUUGAUGAGAGUACUGUACGAAUAAGCAUCGGCUAACUCCGUG
Molecule: ribosomal RNA, 482 nt
Filed under: uncultured bacterium
Lineage: Bacteria
Description: bacterial SSU rRNA
Rfam family: Bacterial small subunit ribosomal RNA
Source: RNAcentral